GACGAACGCUGGCGGCGUGCUUAACACAUGCAAGUCGAACGGAAAGGCCCUGCUUUUGUGGGGUGCUCGAGUGGCGAACGGGUGAGAAACACGUGAGUAACCUGCCCUUGACUUUGGGAUAACUUCAGGAAACUGGGGCUAAUACCGGAUAGGAGCUCCUGCUGCAUGGUGGGGGUUGGAAAGUUUCGGCGGUUGGGGAUGGACUCGCGGCUUAUCAGCUUGUUGGUGGGGUAGUGGCUUACCAAGGCUUUGACGGGUAGCCGGCCUGAGAGGGUGACCGGCCACAUUGGGACUGAGAUACGGCCCAGACUCCUACGGGAGGCAGCAGUGGGGAAUAUUGCACAAUGGGCGGAAGCCUGAUGCAGCAACGCCGCGUGCGGGAUGACGGCCUUCGUGUUGUAAACCGCUUUCGCCUGUGACGAAGCGUGAGUGACGGUAAUGGGUAAAGAAGCACCGGCUAACUACGUG
RNAcentral lists this ribosomal RNA (468 nucleotides) under uncultured bacterium. RNAcentral's name for it is "partial 16S ribosomal RNA". It matches the Rfam family "Bacterial small subunit ribosomal RNA", at positions 28 to 507 of the family's 1533-position model. The record is from RNAcentral.